Molecule: long non-coding RNA, 2732 nt
Filed under: Carica papaya (papaya)
Lineage: Eukaryota; Viridiplantae; Streptophyta; Magnoliopsida; Brassicales; Caricaceae
Description: long non-coding RNA (CPAP_LNC011553)
Source: RNAcentral
UCUAAAUGGUUUAUGUAAAUGUGCGUACAUGAAAAUAUGUAUAUAUAUCAUUUGGUGUUUGAAUAUAAUGGUAUCUAAAUGGUUUAUGUAAAUGUGCGAUGUGACAUCCUGAUGCCUAUUUGGGGCAUCAAUGUCUAAAAAACAGACAAAAUAAACUUAGUUACAUUACAGCGGAAUAUCACAUCCCAUACAAAUAUACAAAUGCUGUAUUUUGAAGCUAACAAGACUAUUAGUACUAAUGACAUUAAUUAAAGAUAACCCUAAUCACAAUUACUAGACGUCAAAAAUUUCAAAAUAUACAAAAGUCUGCUCUCCACUUCUACUCUUCUCGGAAAGAAUCUAGGUAAGAUUCUUCAGAAAAACUCUCUAAAAUACUUAUUAAAGAAAAUGGUGAUAGAGUCAUGCACAUACGUUUAAAAACAUUCAUUAAUGUGGAAUUUUAAGAAAAUAGUGAUAUUCCUAACAAGAACAAGUGUUAUACUUGAAUCAAUUAGCCAUAUUGCAAUAUAAAUAACCAGCUCGAUUUUUAAAAGCACUCAAUACUAUAUGCAAUGUGUUUACGUAACAUAAACUCAAGGAUUGGACUGACUCUUCUUUUUACGUUUUUUUAUUAAUUUCUUAUGAAAUUAUACUGAUUAUAAAUCUAUGUGAGCAGCUGCAUACACCUAUUUUCAAAGAUAACAAACGGGACACCGACUAACUAUGAUUUGGUACGAAAUCAACAUAAUAAAUACAAAACAAUGACAUAAAAUAUACAUACAAUCUCUCAAAUCUUUAAGAGCGCCAUCCCACAAUUUCACUCCGAUCACCAACAUUUAUCUCUUGUUAGAGCAUGAACAACAAUCAUUUCAUAUUUUUUAGAAAACUAAACUGCAGUUCUAGUAUGUAACUCAAUACCAACAUCCAUAGCCUAAUGGUUCCAAAACCAAUACCAAUACCCCUCCGGGAAAAUUAAGUGAAUUGGAUUUACUAGAUACUGUGUUGUUUACAUUUUAAUUAUAUCUUAUUUUUAUUUUCUUUAUUCUUAUUACUUUCUAAAUAUUUGAAUUGAACUCCUAAAAUUUUAAUGAGGUUUAAGUGUAGUAGUGUUUAUUAUUUUGGUUACUUAGGUUCCUUCCUAUUAGAUCCCAUAUUUUAAUUUAUAGUCUUACAAUUUCUUAUUUGUCUAUUUAGGGUUUUUAAAGCUAAUUUUAGUGAUAAAUUAUUGUUAUUAAUUCAGUUUUAUAAUCUUAAGUUAUUAAUUUAAUUUUGAUUUAAAUUUUGUUUUACAUUUUAUGUUAUAUAUUUUAACUUACAAUUUCCAAUGUUAAUGUUUACCUUGCUUUCCUUUAAAUCUUUAAAUUUCUUUAUUUUACUGUUAAUCCAAUUUAAGCUAUAUUUAAGUUUCGAUUUCAAUUUACCGGUUUAACUUGCUUUAAAAUUUCAUAUUGCUUAAUUUUACCGUUAAUCCAAUUUAAGCUAUUUUAAAUUUUAAUUUCAAUUUAAGCAAAUUACCCACGGUCUGCCCAAGGGAAUUUUUCCCUUGCCUGCGCCCGUCGCAUGGUGGGCACAGGGCGGCCGGCCAGUGUGGCAUGUGCUGGGACACAAUGAGGUGCCUGCACAUAUGCCCCUACGUGUAUAUGCGCACUCGCUCGCUUUGAGCGCACUGCUUGCGCGCGCGCAGGCUCUCUCGGCUUCCCCAAAUGCCUGACAGAGCCUCACAAUUGCUUGCGCAACACACUACGCAUGUGCAAUGUGCCAAGGGAGUCUUUCAUGACACUUUUGGGUGACUGCGAAGAGUCUCGCGCGCAAUCCUGCACGGCUAGGCCGCGUGUCCUUUUUAGCGACACUUUGGUGGCUGGACACCACAACCAAAGGCAUUGAGCCUCUGCCCAGCAUGCUUUCACCGAUUUUUCUUCUAUUUUCCCUUCUGUUAUACAUUCAAAAACAUUAUAAAAUGUUUGUAAACAUCAAUCCAUAUUAAAAUCAUCACAAAAACACAAAUUUAAAUCAAGCAAACACAUAGGAACACACUCACCUUUCUAUUCGGUUUAACAGCAAGCAAUGCUCAAAUUUUAUGCAAAUUUACCAUCUAAAUACAUAUAUAAAUCUCAAUACGUGUAUAAACUAAAUCACCAUUCUCCUUACCUAUCAGACGCAUGAAGAUCUUCCUAAAAUGCAUGAGGAAAUUGCCUAAAAUUUGGAAAAACUCACUGCAACUUGCUUGAACAACAGCUACAAAGUCAGAGUGCAUUUUAGGAGGAAUCUGCGGAUUCUGGAGUGAUUCCAUUGCAGAUAUUUAUUUCCCAAGAAUCUCAAGGUGUAAAUGUAUUAAUUUUUAACUUGGGAUUAAAAGUAAUUCAAAGAUACAUUUGGAAAUUAAAGUAUCGAAGAUACUUUCUAGUUGCAGAGAAUAUUUUUUUUUCUUUGUAGCCUUCAGUGAAGGAAUUAGAAGUUUGUUUCUAUUUAAGGAAGAAUAUAAGACCUUAAGGACACUAGAAACAAUUUAAAAGAAGACAAAACGAGCUUACCUCAGCUGAGAAGAAAGCCAACUCCUCUUGGCAAGCACACAACCUCAACACUCUGUUUUCAGUCCUCCUCUCACUCAACUUCUGUCUACCUCUCUCUAACACUCUGACAAGCCACACACAUGAGCUCUCAACUCUCUCUUCUCUCUCUCAGUGAAUAAAUGAGGAAGACAGAACAGAAUGGAAGCUUUUAAACUGGGUUUUUGCUUCAAGGAGAGUCGUUAG